AAUGCAUUACUUAUGUUCUUCAUUUCAGUCUGCAUUACACCCAUCUGAGCCUCCAGCUUUGAAGUUGAUGAAUCUGCAUUAUGAAGUAAUGACUUUCCAGUAGCCGCAAAUUGUAGCUGCUUUUUUGAUGUGUAUGAGCAAAAUCCUCGAGUUCGAGUUCUCUUUCCAGGGCCAAAAACUUCAGCCAAAGCAUCAGAGUCCAUAUCAACAUAGUCCUCCAUGCCCUCUUCGUUC
This 234-nucleotide long non-coding RNA is filed under the name Aquilegia coerulea. RNAcentral describes it as "long non-coding RNA (ACOE_LNC000752)". The record is from RNAcentral. Lineage: Eukaryota; Viridiplantae; Streptophyta; Magnoliopsida; Ranunculales; Ranunculaceae.